UACGGAAGGCAGCAGUGGGGAAUAUUGCACAAUGGGCGCAAGCCUGAUGCAGCCAUGCCGCGUGUAUGAAAAAGGCCUUCGGGUUGUAAAGUACUUUCAGUCGUGAGGAAGGUGUUAAGGUUAAUAACCUUAGCAAUUGACGUUAGCGACAGAAGAAGCACCGGCUAACUCCGUGCCAGCAGCCGCGGUAAUACGGAGGGUGCGAGCGUUAAUCGGAAUUACUGGGCGUAAAGGGCACGCAGGCGGUUAAUUAAGUUGGAUGUGAAAUCCCCGGGCUUAACCUGGGAAUGGCAUUCAAGACUGGUUAGCUAGAGUCUUGUAGAGGGGGUUAGAAGUUCCAUGUGUAGCGGUAAAAUGCGUAGAGAUGUGGAGGAAUACCGGUGGCGAAGGCGGCCCCUGGACAAGACUGACGCUCAUGUGCGAAAGCGUGGGGAGCAAAC
This 440-nucleotide ribosomal RNA is filed under the name uncultured bacterium. Its description in RNAcentral is "bacterial SSU rRNA". It matches the Rfam family "Bacterial small subunit ribosomal RNA", at positions 340 to 773 of the family's 1533-position model. The record is from RNAcentral.